GAUGAACGCUAGCGAUAGGCUUAACACAUGCAAGUCGAGGGGCAGCACAAGGUAGCUUGCUAUCUGGGUGGCGACCGGCGCACGGGUGCGUAACGCGUAUGCAACUUGCCCUAUACAGGAGGAUAACCCGUCGAAAGACGGACUAAUACUGCGUAUGCUCACAACUUGGCAUCAAGUGGUGAGGAAAGAAAUUCGGUAUAGGAUAGGCAUGCGUCCCAUUAGCUUGUUGGUGAGGUAACGGCUCACCAAGGCAACGAUGGGUAGGGGAACUGAGAGGUUUAUCCCCCACACUGGUACUGAGACACGGACCAGACUCCUACGGGAGGCAGCAGUGAGGAAUAUUGGUCAAUGGGCGCGAGCCUGAACCAGCCAAGUCGCGUGAAGGAUGACUGUCUUAUGGAUUGUAAACUUCUUUUAUAUGGGAAUAACAAGAGUCACGUGUGACUCCCUGCAUGUACCGUAUGAAUAAGCAUCGGCUAACUCCGUG
This 487-nucleotide ribosomal RNA is filed under the name uncultured bacterium. RNAcentral describes it as "partial 16S ribosomal RNA". It matches the Rfam family "Bacterial small subunit ribosomal RNA", at positions 28 to 507 of the family's 1533-position model. The record is from RNAcentral.